This 207-nucleotide ribosomal RNA is filed under the name uncultured bacterium. Its description in RNAcentral is "partial 16S ribosomal RNA". It matches the Rfam family "Bacterial small subunit ribosomal RNA", at positions 568 to 774 of the family's 1533-position model. The record is from RNAcentral.
UGCGCAGGCGGAAGAUUAGGUCGGAUGUGAAAACCCCGGGCUUAACCCGGGGCCUGCAUUCGAAACCAACCUUCUUGAGUAUCGGAGAGGAAAGCGGAACUCCAGGUGUAGCGGUGAAAUGCGUAGAUAUCUGGAGGAAUACCGGUGGCGAAGGCGGCUUUCUGGACGAAUACUGACGCUCAUGCACGAAGGCUAGGGGAGCAAACA